AAUUUUGUCAUUCCUCCCUUGAUUCUUCUCUUUAGAUUUUCUCCUUAAUUCGAUGGUCAUUGAUAGCAUAUUCUCAAAUGUAGGAAGAUUUGAGCCUCCUUGCGAUAUAUUUGACUGCAAGAAAAAUCGAGUAGAGACUUUUACAAAGGCAUUAUUUUGUGUCUUGAUCUCUUAUGAAUAUCCCAAAGUUUAUGGGAUUUCAGAGAUUUUUGACCUCUUUAUGAACAUUUCAUGAGUUUCUGAAAUUUUUGAGAUGGAAUAUAUUACCCUUUAAAUAAACAUUAUUUAGGAUUUUGAAUUAAGUAGCCUCCAAGUUAGUUUUAGGAUAAAGUAGCCCCCAAAAACUCUACGAGAAAUUGAAUUCAUCUUGUAAAAUUCACAAAAUUUCAAUGUCUACACCUGUUAAUCUGCAUUCUAACCACGAGAUUACAUCCUGCUUAUCCACCCCCGCCUAAUGAUCCACUUAAGGGUGCAUAUAGAAUAUCAAAUUAAAAAAUAUUCAAUUGGUACUCGAUUUUGGUAACUUCAGACAAGAUGUCUUCUUUUUGUAGUUGGUACACAUUAUUUGAACAUAAAUGGGUGUUAGAAUUAAGAAAAACUUGAAAAAAAAUAAUAAUAAGACACUAUAUUUCUAAAAUGAGUUUGUUAGAUUGGUUGAUGAUUGAGAUAGUUAUUAUGAUAUAUGAAAUUUAUAUUUUAAAUUUGAGCUCAUUCGAGGAAGAAUUAGAAAUUGAAUCAAGUGUUUGGUUGUUAAAAUUUGAAGAACAAGUGGUUGAUUUUGGGUACCUGUGAUAAGGUUGUUUUGAUGAAUGAUCCUUGAGGUUGAUUGCAGGAAUUUAGUAACAAGAAUAUUCACAGGAUUCCUUUUCAAACACUCAAAAAGGAAAAGCAUCUCAUACGAAGGAAAGAAAAAUUGUUGCGGUGCACAAAUCAUGGGAUGAGCAUCUCACAAGAAGGAAAGAAA
This 964-nucleotide long non-coding RNA is filed under the name Capsicum annuum. Its description in RNAcentral is "long non-coding RNA (CANN_LNC004504)". The record is from RNAcentral. Lineage: Eukaryota; Viridiplantae; Streptophyta; Magnoliopsida; Solanales; Solanaceae.